AGAACGAACGCUGGCGGCAUGCCUAAUACAUGCAAGUCGAACGAACUCUUCGGAGUUAGUGGCGCACGGGUGCGUAACGCGUGGGAAUCUGCCCCUUGGUUCGGAAUAACAGUUGGAAACGACUGCUAAUACCGGAUGAUGACGAAAGUCCAAAGAUUUAUCGCCAAGGGAUGAGCCCGCGUAGGAUUAGCUAGUUGGUGAGGUAAAGGCUCACCAAGGCAACGAUCCUUAGCUGGUCUGAGAGGAUGAUCAGCCACACUGGGACUGAGACACGGCCCAGACUCCUACGGGAGCAGCAGUAGGGAAUAUUGGACAAUGGGCGAAAGCCUGAUCCAGCAAUGCCGCGUGAGUGAUGAAGCCUUAGGUUGUAAAGCUCUUUUACCCGAGAUGAUAAUGACAGUAUCGGAGAAUAAGCCCGGCUAACUCCGACGCCAGCAGCCGC
This 442-nucleotide ribosomal RNA is filed under the name uncultured soil bacterium. Its description in RNAcentral is "bacterial SSU rRNA". It matches the Rfam family "Bacterial small subunit ribosomal RNA", at positions 26 to 518 of the family's 1533-position model. The record is from RNAcentral.